RNAcentral lists this ribosomal RNA (798 nucleotides) under Alcaligenes faecalis. RNAcentral describes it as "bacterial SSU rRNA". It matches the Rfam family "Bacterial small subunit ribosomal RNA", at positions 8 to 797 of the family's 1533-position model. Lineage: Bacteria; Pseudomonadati; Pseudomonadota; Betaproteobacteria; Burkholderiales; Alcaligenaceae. The record is from RNAcentral.
AGAGUUUGAUCGUGGCUCAGAUUGAACGCUAGCGGGAUGCUUUACACAUGCAAGUCGAACGGCAGCGCGAGAGAGCUUGCUCUCUUGGCGGCGAGUGGCGGACGGGUGAGUAAUAUAUCGGAACGUGCCCAGUAGCGGGGGAUAACUACUCGAAAGAGUGGCUAAUACCGCAUACGCCCUACGGGGGAAAGGGGGGGAUCGCAAGACCUCUCACUAUUGGAGCGGCCGAUAUCGGAUUAGCUAGUUGGUGGGGUAAAGGCUCACCAAGGCAACGAUCCGUAGCUGGUUUGAGAGGACGACCAGCCACACUGGGACUGAGACACGGCCCAGACUCCUACGGGAGGCAGCAGUGGGGAAUUUUGGACAAUGGGGGAAACCCUGAUCCAGCCAUCCCGCGUGUAUGAUGAAGGCCUUCGGGUUGUAAAGUACUUUUGGCAGAGAAGAAAAGGUACCUCCUAAUACGAGGUACUGCUGACGGUAUCUGCAGAAUAAGCACCGGCUAACUACGUGCCAGCAGCCGCGGUAAUACGUAGGGUGCAAGCGUUAAUCGGAAUUACUGGGCGUAAAGCGUGUGUAGGCGGUUCGGAAAGAAAGAUGUGAAAUCCCAGGGCUCAACCUUGGAACUGCAUUUUUAACUGCCGAGCUAGAGUAUGUCAGAGGGGGGUAGAAUUCCACGUGUAGCAGUGAAAUGCGUAGAUAUGUGGAGGAAUACCGAUGGCGAAGGCAGCCCCCUGGGAUAAUACUGACGCUCANACACGAAGCGUGGGGAGCAACAGGAUUANAUACCCUGGUAGUCCC